GGGAGUGUGGCGGAACGGGCAGACGCGCCGGAUUCAAGUCCCGGUGCCCCUUUGCGGGCGUGAGGGUUCGACCCCCUCCACUCCUACCA
Molecule: transfer RNA, 89 nt
Filed under: Streptomyces gibsoniae
Lineage: Bacteria; Bacillati; Actinomycetota; Actinomycetes; Kitasatosporales; Streptomycetaceae
Description: Streptomyces sp. DSM 41699 tRNA-Leu
Rfam family: tRNA
About the family: Transfer RNA (tRNA) molecules are approximately 80 nucleotides in length.
Source: RNAcentral